GACGAACGCUGGCGGCGUGCUUAACACAUGCAAGUCGAACGAUGAACCGGAGCUUGCUCUGGGGGAUUAGUGGCGAACGGGUGAGUAACACGUGGGCAACCUGCCCCAGACACCGGGAUAACCAUUCGAAAGGAUGGCUAAUAACCGGAUACGACCACUUCGGGCAUCCGAUGGUGGUGGAAAGGAUUCUGGUCUGGGAUGGGCCCGCGGCCUAUCAGCUUGUUGGUGGGGUAAUGGCCUACCAAGGCGACGACGGGUAGCCGGCCUGAGAGGGCGACCGGCCACACUGGGACGUGAGACACGGCCCACGACUCCUACGGGAGGCAGCAGUGGGGAAGUAUUGCGCAAUGGGCGAAAGUCUGACGCAGCGACGCCGCGUGAGGGACGAAGGUCUUCGGA
RNAcentral lists this ribosomal RNA (399 nucleotides) under uncultured bacterium. RNAcentral's name for it is "bacterial SSU rRNA". It matches the Rfam family "Bacterial small subunit ribosomal RNA", at positions 28 to 422 of the family's 1533-position model. The record is from RNAcentral.